GGGUUAGUAGGUUGGUCAUGCCUCCGGUAUGUACUGGUCUCACUGAUUCCUCCUUCCUGACGAACCGUAAUGCCAUUAAUUUGGUGUUGCGGGGAAUUUGGACUGUUACUUUGAAAAAAUUAGAGUGUUCAAAACAGGCUUAUGCCUGAAUAGAUUAGCAUGGAAUAACGGAAUAGGACUUUGUUUCUAUUUUGUUGGUUUCUAGGAUCGACGUAAUGAUUAAUAGGGAUAGUUG
This 235-nucleotide ribosomal RNA is filed under the name uncultured Glomus. Its description in RNAcentral is "partial 18S ribosomal RNA". The stretch from base 40 to 235 matches the Rfam family "Eukaryotic small subunit ribosomal RNA", at positions 686 to 884 of the family's 1831-position model. Lineage: Eukaryota; Fungi; Glomeromycota; Glomeromycetes; Glomerales; Glomeraceae. The record is from RNAcentral.